CGAGCCGGCCGGGCGGCCGCGUCGGGCGCUCUUGCAGGCGCUCGCCGAGGAAGGUCCGGACUCCACAGAGCAGGGUGGUGGGCAACACCCACCCGAGGUGACUCGCGGGACAGUGCCACAGAGACAGACCGCCAGCGGCCCGGACGUGGCAACGCGUGCGUGCGGGUGCGGGUAAGGGUGAAACGGUGGUGUAAGAGACCACCAGCGUGCCGGGUGACCGGGACGGCUGGGUAAACCCCACCUGGAGCAAGGCCAAGAGGGCGACGGGAGACCGGCGCCUGCGCAGGCGAUCGAGGGCUGCUCGCCCGAGCCUGCGGGUAGGCCGCACGAGGGCACCGGUAACGGUGCCCCUAGAUGGAUGGUCGCCGGGGCGCGUCAGCGCUCGCACAGGAUCCGGCCUACAGGCCGGCUCGUCCC
RNAcentral lists this RNase P RNA (417 nucleotides) under Nocardioidaceae bacterium. RNAcentral's name for it is "RNase P RNA component class A". It matches the Rfam family "Bacterial RNase P class A". From Rfam's summary of the family: Ribonuclease P (RNase P) is a ubiquitous endoribonuclease, found in archaea, bacteria and eukarya as well as chloroplasts and mitochondria. Its best characterised activity is the generation of mature 5'-ends of tRNAs by cleaving the 5'-leader elements of precursor-tRNAs. Cellular RNase Ps are ribonucleoproteins. Lineage: Bacteria; Bacillati; Actinomycetota; Actinomycetes; Propionibacteriales; Nocardioidaceae. The record is from RNAcentral.